This 465-nucleotide ribosomal RNA is filed under the name uncultured Klebsiella sp. RNAcentral's name for it is "bacterial SSU rRNA". It matches the Rfam family "Bacterial small subunit ribosomal RNA", at positions 338 to 795 of the family's 1533-position model. Lineage: Bacteria; Pseudomonadati; Pseudomonadota; Gammaproteobacteria; Enterobacterales; Enterobacteriaceae. The record is from RNAcentral.
CCUACGGGGGGCUGCAGUGGGGAAUAUUGCACAAUGGGCGCAAGCCUGAUGCAGCCAUGCCGCGUGUGUGAAGAAGGCCUUCGGGUUGUAAAGCACUUUCAGCGGGGAGGAAGGCGGUGAGGUUAAUAACCUCAUCGAUUGACGUUACCCGCAGAAGAAGCACCGGCUAACUCCGUGCCAGCAGCCGCGGUAAUACGGAGGGUGCAAGCGUUAAUCGGAAUUACUGGGCGUAAAGCGCACGCAGGCGGUCUGUCAAGUCGGAUGUGAAAUCCCCGGGCUCAACCUGGGAACUGCAUUCGAAACUGGCAGGCUAGAGUCUUGUAGAGGGGGGUAGAAUUCCAGGUGUAGCGGUGAAAUGCGUAGAGAUCUGGAGGAAUACCGGCGGCGAAGGCGGCCCCCUGGACAAAGACUGACGCUCAGGUGCGAAAGCGUGGGGAGCAAACAGGAUUAGAUACCCGAGUAGUC